GAGGUGCUGGCCAUCGUCUAGUUUGUCUGGGCCUUUUUUUUAAUGACUAAAAGGUUUUUGGUUUUUUGUUUUUUGUUUUUUAGGAUAUAGUAAAUUCAGCUAAUAAGCCCUGCUGGGAUUCAGCUGACUCUUCACAGGCACUUUAAUCCGCAUUUCAACUUCCAUAAAGUGCCUCAGCUCAUUUUGCAUCCACAGGAAAUUUCCUUUUAAUAUUUUAGAUGAUGAGAAAACCUGCCCUCUGGAUAAUCAUAUACCGCUGAAUUUUGAAUCAUGAGACAAGUUCUCUU
RNAcentral lists this long non-coding RNA (287 nucleotides) under Struthio camelus australis. RNAcentral describes it as "lncRNA (ENSSCUG00000010833.1)". The record is from RNAcentral. Lineage: Eukaryota; Metazoa; Chordata; Aves; Struthioniformes; Struthionidae.